UACGGAAGGCAGCAGUGGGGAAUCUUGCGCAAUGGGCGAAAGCCUGACGCAGCCAUGCCGCGUGAAUGAUGAAGGUCUUAGGAUUGUAAAAUUCUUUCACCGGGGACGAUAAUGACGGUACCCGGAGAAGAAGCCCCGGCUAACUUCGUGCCAGCAGCCGCGGUAAUACGAAGGGGCUAGCGUUGCUCGGAAUUACUGGGCGUAAAGGGAGCGUAGGCGGACAUUUAAGUCAGGGGUGAAAUCCCGGGGCUCAACCUCGGAAUUGCCUUUGAUACUGGGUGUCUUGAGUAUGAGAGAGGUGUGUGGAACUCCGAGUGUAGAGGUGAAAUUCGUAGAUAUUCGGAAGAACACCAGUGGCGAAGGCGACACACUGGCUCAUUACUGACGCUGAGGCUCGAAAGCGUGGGGAGCAAACAGGAUUAGAUACC
RNAcentral lists this ribosomal RNA (428 nucleotides) under uncultured bacterium. RNAcentral describes it as "bacterial SSU rRNA". It matches the Rfam family "Bacterial small subunit ribosomal RNA", at positions 340 to 786 of the family's 1533-position model. The record is from RNAcentral.